This 36-nucleotide transfer RNA is filed under the name Pleurozia conchifolia. RNAcentral describes it as "partial tRNA-Phe". Lineage: Eukaryota; Viridiplantae; Streptophyta; Jungermanniopsida; Pleuroziales; Pleuroziaceae. The record is from RNAcentral.
GCCGGGAAGCUCAGUCGGUAGAGCAAGCCACUAAGC